UACGGAGGGUGCAAGCGUUACUCGGAAUCACUGGGCGUAAAGGGUGCGUAGGCUGACUUUUAAGUCAGGCGUGAAAUCCAAUGGCUUAACCAUUGAACUGCGCUUGAAACUGGGAGUCUAGAGUUCAGAAGGGGCAGAUGGAAUUAGUGGUGUAGGGGUAAAAUCCGUAGAUAUCACUAGGAAUAUCAAAAGCGAAGGCGAUCUGCUGGGAUGAUACUGACGCUGAGGCACGAAAGCGUGGGGAGCAAACAGGAUUAGAUACCCUGGUAGUCCACGCCCUAAACGAUGAAUGCUAGUCGUCGGGGUACUCGUUACUUCGGUGAUGCACUUAACAGAUUAAGCAUUCCGCCUGGGGAGUACGGUCGCAAGAUUAAA
RNAcentral lists this ribosomal RNA (375 nucleotides) under uncultured bacterium. RNAcentral describes it as "bacterial SSU rRNA". It matches the Rfam family "Bacterial small subunit ribosomal RNA", at positions 524 to 898 of the family's 1533-position model. The record is from RNAcentral.